GCUGAUAUGGCUCAGUUGGUAGAGCGCACCCUUGGUAAGGGUGAGGUCCCCAGUUCGAAUGUUUUGGCG
This 69-nucleotide transfer RNA is filed under the name Escherichia coli 2-052-05_S4_C1. RNAcentral describes it as "tRNA-Thr". It matches the Rfam family "tRNA". Rfam says of the family: Transfer RNA (tRNA) molecules are approximately 80 nucleotides in length. Their secondary structure includes four short double-helical elements and three loops (D, anti-codon, and T loops). Further hydrogen bonds mediate the characteristic L-shaped molecular structure. tRNAs have two regions of fundamental functional importance: the anti-codon, which is responsible for specific mRNA codon recognition, and the 3' end, to which the tRNAs corresponding amino acid is attached (by aminoacyl-tRNA synthetases). tRNAs cope with the degeneracy of the genetic code in two manners: having more than one tRNA (with a specific anti-codon) for a particular amino acid; and 'wobble' base-pairing, i.e. permitting non-standard base-pairing at the 3rd anti-codon position. Lineage: Bacteria; Pseudomonadati; Pseudomonadota; Gammaproteobacteria; Enterobacterales; Enterobacteriaceae. The record is from RNAcentral.